AGUGAACGCUGGCGGUAGGCCUAACACAUGCAAGUCGAACGGCAGCACAGUAAGAGCUUGCUCUUACGGGUGGCGAGUGGCGGACGGGUGAGGAAUACAUCGGAAUCUACUUUUUCGUGGGGGACAACGUAGGGAAACUUACGCUAAUACCGCAUACGACCUACGGGUGAAAGCAGGGGAUCUUCGGACCUUGCGCGAUUGAAUGAGCCGAUGUCGGAUUAGCUAGUUGGCGGGGUAAAGGCCCACCAAGGCGACGAUCCGUAGCUGGUCUGAGGGGAUGAUCAGCCACACUGAAACUAAGAAACGGUCCAGAUACCUACGGAAGGCAGCAGGGGGGAAUAUUGGACAAGGGGCGAAGCCCUGAUCCAGCCAGACCGCGUGGGUGAAGAAGGCCUUCGGGUGGUAAAGCCCUUUUGUUGGGAAAGAAAAGCGGCAGGUUAAUACCCCGCUGUUCGAACGGAACCAAAAGAAUAAGCACCGGCUAACUUCGU
RNAcentral lists this ribosomal RNA (491 nucleotides) under uncultured bacterium. RNAcentral describes it as "partial 16S ribosomal RNA". It matches the Rfam family "Bacterial small subunit ribosomal RNA", at positions 29 to 506 of the family's 1533-position model. The record is from RNAcentral.